AUUGAACGCUGGCGGCAGGCCUAACACAUGCAAGUCGAACGGCAGCACAGAAGAGCUUGCUCUUUGGGUGGCGAGUGGCGGACGGGUGAGUAACACGUAGGAAUCUACCCAGUAGUGGGGGAUAACCUGGGGAAACCCAGGCUAAUACCGCAUACGCCCUGAGGGGGAAAGCGGGGGAUCUUCGGACCUCGCGCUAUUGGAUGAGCCUGCGUCGGAUUAGCUAGUUGGUGGGGUAAGGGCCCACCAAGGCGACGAUCCGUAGCUGGUCUGAGAGGAUGACCAGUCACACCGGAACUGAGACACGGUCCGGACUCCUACGGGAGGCAGCAGUGGGGAAUAUUGGACAAUGGGCGCAAGCCUGAUCCAGCCAUGCCGCGUGGGUGAAGAAGGCCUGCGGGUUGUAAAGCACUUUUGUUCGGGAAGAAAUCAUGUCGGUUAAUACCCGAUGUGGAUGACGGUACCGAAAGAAUAAGCACCGGCUAACUUCGUGCCAGCAGCC
This 499-nucleotide ribosomal RNA is filed under the name uncultured bacterium. RNAcentral describes it as "bacterial SSU rRNA". It matches the Rfam family "Bacterial small subunit ribosomal RNA", at positions 29 to 516 of the family's 1533-position model. The record is from RNAcentral.